This 601-nucleotide ribosomal RNA is filed under the name uncultured Natronomonas sp. Its description in RNAcentral is "bacterial SSU rRNA". It matches the Rfam family "Archaeal small subunit ribosomal RNA", at positions 51 to 658 of the family's 1478-position model. Lineage: Archaea; Methanobacteriati; Methanobacteriota; Halobacteria; Halobacteriales; Natronomonadaceae. The record is from RNAcentral.
AUGCGAGUCUUUGCAGUAAUGCAAGGCGGACUGCUCAGUAACACGUAGUCAACUUAACCUAUGGAUGGGUAUAACCUCGGGAAACUGAGAAUAAUUCCCAAUAGAUCAUUUAUCCUGGAAUGGUUGAUGAUUGAAAUGAUUCGUCGCCAUAGGAUAGGACUGCGGCCUAUCAGCUUGUUGGUGAGGUAAAGGCCCACCAAGGCUAUUACAGGUACGGGCUCUGAGAGGAGAAGCCCGGAGAUGGGUACUGAGACACGGACCCAGGCCCUAUGGGGCGCAGCAGGCGAGAAAACUUUGCAAUGUGCGAAAGCACGACAAGGUUAAUCCGAGUGAUUUCUGCUAAAGGAAUCUUUUGCCAGUCCUAAAAACACUGGUGAAUAAGGGGUGGGCAAGUUCUGGUGUCAGCCGCCGCGGUAAAACCAGCACCUCAAGUUGUCAGGAGGAUUAUUGGGCCUAAAGCAUCCGUAGCCGGCUCUGUUAGUUUUCGGUUAAAUCCAUAUGCUCAACAUAUGGGCUGUCGAAAAUACUGCAGAGCUAGGGAAUGGGAGAGGUAGACGGUACUUGGUAGGAAGGGGUAAAAUCCUUUGAUCUAUCGAUGACC